UGAGUUUGAUCAUGGCUCAGAUUGAACGCUGGCGGCAGGCUUAACACAUGCAAGUCGAGCGGAAACGGCAUAAUUGACGCCUUCGGGUUGAUUUUAUGGACGUCGAGCGGCGGAUGGGUGAGUAAUGCCUGGGAAUCUGCCUGGUAGUGGGGGAUAACUUGCCGAAAGGUAAGCUAAUACCGCGUACGCCCUACGGGGGAAAGCAGGGGAUCUUCGGACCUUGCGCUAUCAGAUGAGCCCAGGCCGGAUUAGCUAGUUGGUGGGGUAAUGGCCUACCAAGGCGACGAUCCGUAGCUAGUCUGAGAGGAUGAUCAGCCACACCGGGACUGAGACACGGCCCGGACUCCUACA
This 351-nucleotide ribosomal RNA is filed under the name uncultured bacterium. RNAcentral describes it as "bacterial SSU rRNA". It matches the Rfam family "Bacterial small subunit ribosomal RNA", at positions 1 to 343 of the family's 1533-position model. The record is from RNAcentral.